AUUUUUGGAAAGCAGAAAAAAGCCCAGUUAUAACUGGGUUUUUUUUUUGUUUGGAAAGCA
Molecule: non-coding RNA, 60 nt
Filed under: Spodoptera frugiperda (fall armyworm)
Lineage: Eukaryota; Metazoa; Arthropoda; Insecta; Lepidoptera; Noctuidae
Source: RNAcentral